RNAcentral lists this unclassified non-coding RNA (363 nucleotides) under uncultured bacterium. Its description in RNAcentral is "contains 16S-23S intergenic spacer region". The record is from RNAcentral.
UCCCUGUUACCAGGGCUGUCUCCUAUGAACAUUUAACAUAGGACGAGGGUUUCGUUCGUUCAAGGACUUAACCUCACAGCUCACGCCACGAACUGACGACGACCGUGCAGUACCUGUCUUUGGGCUCCUUGCGGCACCUUCUCGUUUCUGAGAAGUUCCCAAGAUGUCAAGCCCUGGAUAAGGUUCCUCGCUUGUUGUCGAAUUAAACCACAUGCUCCACCACUUGUGCGAGCCCCCGCCAAUUCCUUUGAGUUUUAAUCUUGCGAUCGUACUUCCCAGGCGGUCAACUUGACGCGUUAGCUUCGCAACAGAGAGGGUCGACUCUCCCUAUUGCUAGUUGACAAAGUUUACGGCGUGGACUAC